Molecule: ribosomal RNA, 468 nt
Filed under: uncultured bacterium
Lineage: Bacteria
Description: partial 16S ribosomal RNA
Rfam family: Bacterial small subunit ribosomal RNA
Source: RNAcentral
GACGAACGCUGGCGGCGUGCUUAACACAUGCAAGUCGAACGGUGAAGCUCCAGCUUGCUGGAGUGGAUCAGUGGCGAACGGGUGAGUAACACGUGAGCAACCUGCCCCUGACUCUGGAAUAAGCGCUGGAAACGGCGUCUAAUACUGGAUACGAGAAGGGUCCGCAUGGGCACUUUCUGGAAAGUUUUUCGGUUGGGGAUGGGCUCGCGGCCUAUCAGCUUGUUGGUGAGGUAAUGGCUCACCAAGGCGACGACGGGUAGCCGGCCUGAGAGGGCGACCGGCCACACUGGGACUGCGACACGGCCCAGACUCCUACGGGAGGCAGCAGUGGGGAAUAUUGCACAAUGGGCGAAAGCCUGAUGCAGCGACGCCGCGUGAGGGAUGACGGCCUUCGGGUUGUAAACCUCUUUCAGCAGGGAAGAAGCGAAAGUGACGGUACCUGCAGAAGAAGCACCGGCUAACUACGUG